AUGGUGGGCACUCUAAGGAGACUGCCGGUGACAAACCGGAGGAAGGUGGGGAUGACGUCAAGUCAUCAUGGCCCUUACGGCCUGGGCUACACACGUGCUACAAUGGUCGGUACAGAGGGUUGCCAAGCCGCGAGGUGGAGCUAAUCCCACAAAACCGAUCGUAGUCCGGAUCGCAGUCUGCAACUCGACUGCGUGAAGUCGGAAUCGCUAGUAAUCGCGAAUCAGAAUGUCGCGGUGAAUACGUUCCCGGGCCUUGUACACACCGCCCGUCACACCAUGGGAGUGGGUUGCACCAGAAGUAGCUAGUCUAACCUUCGGGGGGACGGUUACCACGGUGUGAUUCAUGACUGGGGUGAAGUCGUAACAAGGUAGCCGUAGGGGAACCUGCGGCUGGAUCACC
RNAcentral lists this ribosomal RNA (400 nucleotides) under Mesorhizobium sp. RNAcentral's name for it is "bacterial SSU rRNA". It matches the Rfam family "Bacterial small subunit ribosomal RNA", at positions 1128 to 1527 of the family's 1533-position model. Lineage: Bacteria; Pseudomonadati; Pseudomonadota; Alphaproteobacteria; Hyphomicrobiales; Phyllobacteriaceae. The record is from RNAcentral.